GGAGAGAGGUAGCUUGCUACUGAUCUUAGCGGCGGACGGGUGAGUAAUGCUUAGGAAUCUGCCUAUUAGUGGGGGACAACAUUUCGAAAGGAAUGCUAAUACCGCAUACGUCCUACGGGAGAAAGCAGGGGAUCUUCGGACCUUGCGCUAAUAGAUGAGCCUAAGUCGGAUUAGCUAGUUGGUGGGGUAAAGGCCUACCAAGGCGACGAUCUGUAGCGGGUCUGAGAGGAUGAUCCGCCACACUGGGACUGAGACACGGCCCAGACUCCUACGGGAGGCAGCAGUGGGGAAUAUUGGACAAUGGGCGCAAGCCUGAUCCAGCCAUGCCGCGUGUGUGAAGAAGGCCUUAUGGUUGUAAAGCACUUUAAGCGAGGAGGAGGCUACUUUAGUUAAUACCUAGAGAUAGUGGACGUUACUCGCAGAAUAAGCACCGGCUAACUCUGUGCCAGCAGCCGCGGUAAUACAGAGGGUGCAAGCGUUAAUCGGAUUUACUGGGCGUAAAGCGCGCGUAGGCGGCUAAUUAAGUCAAAUGUGAAAUCCCCGAGCUUAACUUGGGAAUUGCAUUCGAUACUGGUUAGCUAGAGUGUGGGAGAGGAUGGUAGAAUUCCAGGUGUAGCGGUGAAAUGCGUAGAGAUCUGGAGGAAUACCGAUGGCGAAGGCAGCCAUCUGGCCUAACACUGACGCUGAGGUGCGAAAGCAUGGGGAGCAAACAGGAUUAGAUACCCUGGUAGUCCAUGCCGUAAACGAUGUCUACUAGCCGUUGGGGCCUUUGAGGCUUUAGUGGCGCAGCUAACGCGAUAAGUAGACCGCCUGGGGAGUACGGUCGCAAGACUAAAACUCAAAUGAAUUGACGGGGCCCGCACAAGCGGUGGAGCAUGUGGUUUAAUUCGAUGCAACGCGAAGAACCUUACCUGGCCUUGACAUAGUAAGACUUUCCAGAGAUGAUUGGUGCUUCGGGACUUACAUACAGUGCUGCAUGCUGUCGUCAGCUCGUGUCGUGGAGAAUGUUGGGUUAAGUUCGCA
Molecule: ribosomal RNA, 1023 nt
Filed under: Acinetobacter sp.
Lineage: Bacteria; Pseudomonadati; Pseudomonadota; Gammaproteobacteria; Moraxellales; Moraxellaceae
Description: bacterial SSU rRNA
Rfam family: Bacterial small subunit ribosomal RNA
Source: RNAcentral